UUUGCCAUAUUUCAGGGAGGGGAAUUCCUUGUUUCAUAAAAGUCAACAAAAAUAACUUUAAAUUAUUUCCAGGAUGUAUUUUUUUGUUUAAAUAUAUUAAACUUAUAAAUUGAAAGGGACUUUCUACCAGCAAUUUUUUUUAAACGCUUCCCAUGGCCUUUUUAUCAAGCUAUGAAUAUGUAAUGAGGUAAAUUCUCCUAACGUUGGAAUGUGAUCCAUUCGGAAUUUCUCGGGUUUUAUUCAUUGAUAAUACUCGGAUUUUUCGGUGCUUUACAUUGCAGUUGAUGAUAGAAUGAUACUGUCUGUCCAUCCAUCUGCCUGAAAGGAUCUUCUCCCAGUUAGACAGUCUCAUCAGAGUCAUGUGGUGAGUCACUACCAACGCCUUGGAGGGAAAUACCAAUAUUGGACUCAAAACCCAUACAGUGAAUUGGUUAGAAAGUUUGGAUGAAGCACAUCCUGAACAUAUAUGGUAAAUUCUGGUGAAGAAACAGCUAGGUCCUGAAAAUAUAUACUUUAGAACAUUCAAUAAACUUAGUCAAAUGAUGAAUAGUUUAUGUAUCAUUAUCAUAAUUAUAAUGAAUACCAAAACAGUUCAGAUAGUCACUAUUGCAAAUCCCAAUGGAUUAUUAGACUUAAAGACUGCAUUGAUCUUGGUCUUUAUAUAUAAUAAGUUCUCGACAUAUCCAUUUUUUAUAGGAAUAACAGGUUUUUCGCAAAAUAUUUACCAAUUUUUUUGAAAAAUGAGAGUAUUUUAGUGUAAAUAAUACAUUUUCCAAGAGAAAACAUCAUUAUAGCAAUGUCUGACUAAGCAAUGACUUAACUCUUAGAGUUUAAAUGGAUUAUUUUUAUUUUCUCGGUCAAAAUUUGGGAUUUUUCAAAAUUAUAGUUUUUUUUCAUGCAGGUAUAGGGCUAACCAAAUUCCAUCUAGGAUAAAUAUCAAUCAGCCAAAUACAAUGAAAUUAGGUUCAACUGAAAGCUAAGAUUGUAAGCUUUAAUAUGAUACCAAACAUGUGUAAAAAUCUCCAAUUUUCCGUUAAAUUUUUGCAUAACUGCGCAAAUAUUUGAAAAAAUCCGCGAUUUUCAAAAUUGUCAAAACAUUUCUUAUUUUUGACCAUUUUUUAAAUUUGUAUUGCAUUAAAUUCUAUUAAUAUAUGGCAAAAAGGUGCUUUUACAUGUAAAGUCACAGUAGCAGUCACUAACUUCUGUGAA
This is a long non-coding RNA of Mytilus californianus (California mussel), 1209 nucleotides long. RefSeq lists it as uncharacterized. Lineage: Eukaryota; Metazoa; Mollusca; Bivalvia; Mytilida; Mytilidae. The transcript has 3 exons. The record is from RefSeq and is a predicted model, not a curated record.